GGUUAAGCGACUAAGCGUACACGGUGGAUGCCCUGGCAGUCAGAGGCGAUGAAGGACGUGCUAAUCUGCGAUAAGCGUCGGUGAGGUGAUAUGAACCGUUAUAACCGGCGAUUUCCGAAUGGGGAAACCCAGUGUGUUUCGACACACUAUCAUUAACUGAAU
RNAcentral lists this ribosomal RNA (162 nucleotides) under Escherichia coli. RNAcentral's name for it is "partial 23S ribosomal RNA". It matches the Rfam family "Bacterial large subunit ribosomal RNA", at positions 1 to 163 of the family's 2925-position model. Lineage: Bacteria; Pseudomonadati; Pseudomonadota; Gammaproteobacteria; Enterobacterales; Enterobacteriaceae. The record is from RNAcentral.